GACGAACGCUGGCGGCGUGCUUAACACAUGCAAGUCGUACGGUAAGGCCCUUUCGGGGGUACACGAGUGGCGAACGGGUGAGUAACACGUGAGUAACCUGCCCACAACUUUGGGAUAACGCUAGGAAACUGGUGCUAAUACUGGAUAUGUGCUCCUGCUGCAUGGUGGGGGUUGGAAAGCUCCGGCGGUUGUGGAUGGACUCGCGGCCUAUCAGCUUGUUGGUGGGGUAGUGGCCUACCAAGGCGGCGACGGGUAGCCGGCCUGAGAGGGUGACCGGCCACAUUGGGACUGAGAUACGGCCCAGACUCCGACUGGAGGCAGCAGGGGGGAAUAUUGCACAAUGGGCGCAAGCCGGAUGCAGCAACGCCGCGUGCGGGAUGACGGCCUUCGGGUUGUAAACCGCUUUCAGCAGGGACGAAGCUUUUUGUGACGGUACCUGCAGAAGAAGCACCGGCUAACUACGUG
This 465-nucleotide ribosomal RNA is filed under the name uncultured bacterium. RNAcentral's name for it is "partial 16S ribosomal RNA". It matches the Rfam family "Bacterial small subunit ribosomal RNA", at positions 28 to 507 of the family's 1533-position model. The record is from RNAcentral.